This 107-nucleotide microRNA precursor is filed under the name Podarcis lilfordi (Lilford's wall lizard). Lineage: Eukaryota; Metazoa; Chordata; Lepidosauria; Squamata; Lacertidae. The record is from RNAcentral.
UUUAAAAUGCAUCUCUGGGUUAUUUGUGGGGCAUAGGAAUUUUUUUUUGGAGGGGGGGAAUGAACAAAUUCCUAUGCCCCACAAAUAACCCAGAGAUGCAUUUUUAA